UUGACCUCGGAUCAGGUAGGGAUACCCGCUGAACUUAAGCAUAUCAAUAAGGCCGGA
Molecule: ribosomal RNA, 57 nt
Filed under: Aspergillus niger
Lineage: Eukaryota; Fungi; Ascomycota; Eurotiomycetes; Eurotiales; Aspergillaceae
Description: partial 28S ribosomal RNA
Source: RNAcentral